RNAcentral lists this ribosomal RNA (499 nucleotides) under uncultured bacterium. Its description in RNAcentral is "partial 16S ribosomal RNA". It matches the Rfam family "Bacterial small subunit ribosomal RNA", at positions 28 to 507 of the family's 1533-position model. The record is from RNAcentral.
GACGAACGCUGGCGGCGUGCUUAACACAUGCAAGUCGAACGGGCCCGCUCUCUUUUUUGGGGGUGGGUUGAGUGGCGAACGGGUGAGUAUCACGUGAGUAACCUGCCCCCUGCUCCUGGAUAACUGCUUGAAAGGGCGGCUAAUACGGGGUGUGCCGGCUGGUCCGCAUGGGCCUGGUCGGGAUAGUUUCAUCUUCGGGUGUUUCGGGGGGGGAUGGGCUCGCGGCCUAUCAGCUUGUUGGUGGGGUGAUGGCCCACCAAGGCGGGGGCGGGUAGCCGGCCUGAGAGGGUGGGCGGCCAGAGUGGGACUGAGACACGGCCCAGACUCCGGCGGGAGGCAGCGGUGGGGGGUAUUGCACAAUGGGCGGAAGCCUGAUGCAGCGACGUCGCGUGAGGGAUGGAGGCCUUCGGGUUGUGAACCUCUUUCUCCGGUGGUGAAGGCCCUGUCCGUUGCGGCGGGGUUGACGGUAGCCGGGUAUGAAGCGCCGGCUAACUACGUG